RNAcentral lists this ribosomal RNA (330 nucleotides) under uncultured microorganism. RNAcentral describes it as "bacterial SSU rRNA". It matches the Rfam family "Bacterial small subunit ribosomal RNA", at positions 9 to 314 of the family's 1533-position model. The record is from RNAcentral.
GAGUUUGAUCGUGGCUCAGGAUGAACGCUGGCGGCGUGCCUAACACAUGCAAGUCGAACGGAGUUCUUAAGGAAUGCGGCUUCGGCCAAAUGACUUUUGAACUUAGUGGCGGACGGGUGAGUAACGCGUGAGCAACCUGCCUUUCCAGAGGGGGAGUAACAUUUGGUAAACAGAUGCUAAUACCGCAUAAGAUUACAGUACCGCAUGAUACAGUGAUCAAAGGAGCAAUCCGCUGAAAGAUGGGCUCGCGUCCGAUUAGAUAGUUGGUGAGGUAGCGGCUCACCAAGUCGACGAUCGGUAGCCGGACUGAGAGGUUGAACGGCCGACAUU